Molecule: ribosomal RNA, 253 nt
Filed under: uncultured bacterium
Lineage: Bacteria
Description: partial 16S ribosomal RNA
Rfam family: Bacterial small subunit ribosomal RNA
Source: RNAcentral
UACGGGGGGGGCAAGCGUUGUUCGGAAUUACUGGGCGUAAAGGGCUCGUAGGUGGCCAACUAAGUCAGACGUGAAAUCCCUCAGCUUAACUGGGGAACUGCGUCUGAUACUGGAUGGCUUGAGUUUGGGAGAGGGAUGCGGAAUUCCAGGUGUAGCGGUGAAAUGCGUAGAUAUCUGGAGGAACACCGGUGGCGAAGGCGACAUCCUGGACCAACACUGACGCUGAGGAGCGAAAGCCAGGGGAGCAAACGGG